UCUUCUUCAUUCUUCUUGGCUACCUUGGAGGCCUUCUUGCUGUGUUCUUGACCUCAAACUCUUCCUGGCCACUUCUUUCCACGGCCAUGGCCGACAUUUCCUUCGUCAGCACCAAGAAUGGUGCCAUCCACGCUAGGGUUAGCCCCAGCCAGGGAGUGGCCGCCCUCGGCCAGGCCUCCAGCCAGGGGCUCUUCCAGGCCAGGCUCAGCCCCGACCAGGGGGUGGCUGCCGUAGGCCAGGCCGUGGAUGUCCCCGAUCAGGCCGCGCCCAGCCUCGGCCAAGCUGCCGGCCAGGGCUUCAUCUAGACCCGAGUGGCUGCCGCCGGCCAAGGGGCGCUCGCCCCUAGGAGCCAGUGGGUGGAACAGAC
This 367-nucleotide long non-coding RNA is filed under the name Setaria viridis. RNAcentral describes it as "long non-coding RNA (SVIR_LNC005402)". The record is from RNAcentral. Lineage: Eukaryota; Viridiplantae; Streptophyta; Magnoliopsida; Poales; Poaceae.